RNAcentral lists this transfer RNA (72 nucleotides) under Pagellus acarne (axillary seabream). Its description in RNAcentral is "tRNA-Gly". It matches the Rfam family "tRNA". Rfam says of the family: Transfer RNA (tRNA) molecules are approximately 80 nucleotides in length. Their secondary structure includes four short double-helical elements and three loops (D, anti-codon, and T loops). Further hydrogen bonds mediate the characteristic L-shaped molecular structure. tRNAs have two regions of fundamental functional importance: the anti-codon, which is responsible for specific mRNA codon recognition, and the 3' end, to which the tRNAs corresponding amino acid is attached (by aminoacyl-tRNA synthetases). tRNAs cope with the degeneracy of the genetic code in two manners: having more than one tRNA (with a specific anti-codon) for a particular amino acid; and 'wobble' base-pairing, i.e. permitting non-standard base-pairing at the 3rd anti-codon position. Lineage: Eukaryota; Metazoa; Chordata; Actinopteri; Spariformes; Sparidae. The record is from RNAcentral.
AUCUUUCUAGUAUCAAACAUAGUAUAAGUGACUUCCACUCACAUGGUCUUGGUUAAAGUCCGAGGAAAGAAA